GUGGGGAAUCUUAGACAAUGGGCGCAAGCCUGAUCUAGCCAUGCCGCGUGAGCGAUGAAGGCCUUAGGGUUGUAAAGCUCUUUCAGGGGGGAAGAUAAUGACGGUACCCCCAGAAGAAGCCCCGGCUAACUCCGUUCCAGCAGCCGCGGUAAUACGGAGGGGGCUAGCGUUGUUCGGAAUUACUGGGCGUAAAGCGCACGUAGGCGGACCAGAAAGCCAGGGGUGAAAUCCCGGGGCUCAACCCCGGAACUGCCUUUGAAACUCCUGGUCUUGAGGUAGAGAGAGGUGAGUGGAAUUCCGAGUGUAGAGGUGAAAUUCGUAGAUAUUCGGAGGAACACCAGUGGCGAAGGCGGCUCACUGGCUCGAUACUGACGCUGAGGUGCGAAAGCGUGGGGAGCAAACAGGAUUAGAUACCCGGGUAGUCC
Molecule: ribosomal RNA, 425 nt
Filed under: uncultured bacterium
Lineage: Bacteria
Description: partial 16S ribosomal RNA
Rfam family: Bacterial small subunit ribosomal RNA
Source: RNAcentral